GGGGAGCGGCGCCGGCGAACCCUUGCGCUUGUAAUGAGAAGGUCAAGGGUUCGAUUCCCUUGGGCGGCUCCACCA
Molecule: transfer RNA, 75 nt
Filed under: Leifsonia sp. 98AMF
Lineage: Bacteria; Bacillati; Actinomycetota; Actinomycetes; Micrococcales; Microbacteriaceae
Also listed under: 5 other names
Description: tRNA_Pseudo_TGT
Source: RNAcentral